Molecule: long non-coding RNA, 1489 nt
Organism: Eucalyptus grandis
Lineage: Eukaryota; Viridiplantae; Streptophyta; Magnoliopsida; Myrtales; Myrtaceae
Exons: 2
Source: RefSeq, a predicted model, not a curated record
CUUCGUUUAAAUUAUCCAAUAAAACUUUCCACCGAAGAACCCCUGUGGCCGUCGCCUUCGUUCCAUGUUCUCUAUCCCUCCAUGUGCUGCCGUCUUCACCAUUUUUCCCCUCCAGCAAGCACCACUCAUGCCAGGAUUCUUCACUCGCGCGCCUCAUCCCAUGCCAAGCUGCCACUCGUCUGCAAAUCACCCAUCUCCAGUCAACCAUUGAAGCUUUAGUUGACUGAAGCAGCCCCAAAAUUCCACGAAGCAAGUCCACCGAAGAAAUCCCCACGCAUCCACUUCUUUUCCUUCGGCUGCCAGCACGUUCGCAAGAUUUUCCCAGGCGGUGACUGAAGCUGCUCUCACACAAUCUUUGGUCUUCUGCCGCAGCAAACCGAGUCAAAAACCCAACAAGUUCCUCCACCGAAGUUGACUUCUCACGUGCCGUUCAUCCACCGAAGCUCCUCCAUCUGCACGUGUCCUCAACCGAACAACGCUAAAGAAUUCAGCCAUGAGUCCAGCAGAUUCGGGUUCAGCCUCUACAGAUUUGUUGACCGUGAUUCCCACGAAUUUGUGCAGUCCACAUCCAGCGAAUUUCACGGGCCCAACAUCACCAAAGCGAAGCAGCUGCUACUCCCCUCGUCCACAUCUUCAGCCCUUCAUCACCGAGGCCCAACAGCCGCAAGCCCUGCACGAAGUGGACCUAUGAAGCUCGGCCCAUCUUCAGCGAAUCCAGUUCAGUUGCAGCAAGCCCACGCCAUUUGAAGCCCAAGAAAAAUUUCAGCAGCCCAAGUCUUUGGCCCAAAAAUCCAACAGCUCCAUUGAGCCCAAUUCAGCAACUUCGGCCCAAGUCCAGCCCGCGAAGAAGGCCCAAGAGUGAGCCAAGCCCAAGCCCAAGAGUGAGCCCAGUCUAGUGCAAGAACAAAUCUUGGUUGGGCUGAGAUUUGUUGAGCCCAAGUUUAAGGCCCGGUCCAAGCCCGCCGGUGUCGUCGAAAGCCCGAUUUCGGCUGCCGUCGCGUCGCCGUCACGGUGUCCCGGUCCCCACUGUUAAUCAAAUGAAGAAGCAAGCGAGAGGGUACUUUCAUGAAGCCAAAUGGUUCCAUACCAGCUACUCACCAACAAUAGAGGAAUACAAGCCCCUUGCUUUAUUAACGACAUGCUAUGGAGAGUUAUCGAUCACAGCACUUGUAGGAAAGGGUGAUGUGGUCACAAGAGAUGCUUUUGAAUGGUUGCUCGGUGACAUUGCUUCUCACUAGGUAUAAUAAAAACAUAAUUAUCCUCCAAUACUCUAAUAAAUUAGAUCGACCACCACUCAGUCGAAAACAAUGUUAACCUAAUUACGCCAAGGUUGUUGACAUACAAUAUGAGCCAAAGAGGGGGCACAUAACAUCUACGGUAGAUUUGUUAAUGAAAGAAAAUGGUGUCUCGAAAUAGGAAACCGAGGAGGAACUCCAGAAACGAGUUGUUGAUGCAUGGAAGGACAUAAAUAAAGAGUUUCUCAGUCUAA